RNAcentral lists this ribosomal RNA (255 nucleotides) under uncultured bacterium. RNAcentral's name for it is "partial 16S ribosomal RNA". It matches the Rfam family "Bacterial small subunit ribosomal RNA", at positions 524 to 776 of the family's 1533-position model. The record is from RNAcentral.
UACGAAGGGGGCUAGCGUUGUUCGGAAUCACUGGGCGUAAAGCGCACGUAGGCGGACUUUUUAAGUCAGAGGUGAAAAUCCCAAGGCUCAACCUUGGAACUGCCUUUGAUACUGGGAGUCUUGAGGUCGAGAGAGGUGAGUGGAACUGCGAGUGUAGAGGUGAAAUUCGUAGAUAUUCGCAAGAACACCAGUGGCGAAGGCGGCUCACUGGCUCGAUUCUGACGCUGAGGUGCGAAAGCGUGGGGAGCAAACAGG